This 240-nucleotide unclassified non-coding RNA is filed under the name soil metagenome. RNAcentral's name for it is "partial contains 5.8S ribosomal RNA, internal transcribed spacer 2, and large subunit ribosomal RNA". The record is from RNAcentral.
AACCAUAGAAACCUGCGGAGUACCUGCGGAGGGAUCAUUAACCUUUCAAAAAACAGGGUGCGUCGCGGCCCCCCUCCGGGGGCGGUUUGGGGUCCUCCCCUUCACGCGCGCACGACUGCAUCCUUACUUUACGAGCACCUUCUGUUCUCCCUCGGCGGGGCAACCUGCCGUUGGAACCGAAUAAACCCUUUUUUGCAUCCAGCAUUACCCGUUCCGAAACAAACAAUCGUUACAACUUUU